GUACCCGUAGCUCAGCUGGAUAGAGCAACGGACUUCUAAUCCGUAGGUCGGGGGUUCGAAUCCCUCCGGGCACGCCA
This 77-nucleotide transfer RNA is filed under the name Clostridiaceae bacterium. RNAcentral's name for it is "tRNA-Arg". It matches the Rfam family "tRNA". From Rfam's summary of the family: Transfer RNA (tRNA) molecules are approximately 80 nucleotides in length. Lineage: Bacteria; Bacillati; Bacillota; Clostridia; Eubacteriales; Clostridiaceae. The record is from RNAcentral.